UUUAAAAACCGGCAAAUCUAGAGAAAUCUAGAGACGCAAAGCUAAAGGGGCUAAGGUUUAAUCAAACUAUGCCAGCCAGUUGCCAAA
Terrisporobacter sp. is the source of this 87-nucleotide regulatory RNA element. It matches the Rfam family "c-di-GMP-I riboswitch aptamer". Rfam says of the family: GEMM was predicted in a large-scale screen for bacterial structured RNA regulatory elements. Genes associated with GEMM are involved in a diverse array of functions, including chemotaxis regulation, signal transduction, secretion and chitin. The record is from Rfam. NCBI's taxonomy places the organism in Bacteria, Bacillati, Bacillota, Clostridia, Peptostreptococcales, Peptostreptococcaceae.